This is a non-coding RNA of Phrynosoma platyrhinos (Desert horned lizard), 74 nucleotides long. The record is from the annotation of a GenBank genome assembly. Lineage: Eukaryota; Metazoa; Chordata; Lepidosauria; Squamata; Phrynosomatidae.
UACCAAGUGUGGCACAGUGGUUUGAGCGUUGGACUAUGACUCUGGGGACCAGGGUUCGAUUCCUAGCCUGGCCA